GGGCUCACUUUGACAGCAUGUAUACUAAAAUAGGAAUGAUAGAGAUAAGAUUAGCACGGCCCAGUGCAAGGAUGACACUUAGGUACUGUUGAGACAAAUUCUC
Octodon degus (degu) is the source of this 103-nucleotide small nuclear RNA. Lineage: Eukaryota; Metazoa; Chordata; Mammalia; Rodentia; Octodontidae. The record is from Ensembl.